GUGAAUCAUCAAAUCUUUGAACGCAAAUUGCACUCUCUGGUAUUCCGGAAAGUAUGCCUGUUUGAGGGUCAGUUAAAAUAAAAUUGGUGUUGGUGGUGCUUUUCGUGGUUACGCGGCGGGAUUGAGGUCGCCUACCUUUGGUUAAGUGGCGUAAAAUUUUGGAUUAUUUUGUUACGUCGUAUAUUAU
RNAcentral lists this unclassified non-coding RNA (187 nucleotides) under Glomeromycetes sp. Its description in RNAcentral is "partial contains 5.8S ribosomal RNA and internal transcribed spacer 2". The stretch from base 1 to 71 matches the Rfam family "5.8S ribosomal RNA", at positions 84 to 154 of the family's 154-position model. Lineage: Eukaryota; Fungi; Glomeromycota; Glomeromycetes. The record is from RNAcentral.